UACGGAGGGUGCAAGCGUUAAUCGGAAUUACUGGGCGUAAAGCGCGCGUAGGCGGCUUGGUCAGUUGGGUGUGAAAGCCCCGGGCUCAACCUGGGAACUGCAUUCAAUACUGCCAGGCUAGAGUACGAGAGAGGGUAGUGGAAUUCCACGUGUAGCGGUGAAAUGCGUAGAUAUGUGGAGGAACAUCAGUGGCGAAGGCGACUGCCUGGCUCGAUACUGACGCUGAGGUGCGAAAGCGUGGGUAGCAAACAGG
This 253-nucleotide ribosomal RNA is filed under the name uncultured bacterium. RNAcentral's name for it is "partial 16S ribosomal RNA". It matches the Rfam family "Bacterial small subunit ribosomal RNA", at positions 524 to 776 of the family's 1533-position model. The record is from RNAcentral.